Punica granatum (pomegranate) is the source of this 1459-nucleotide non-coding RNA. The record is from RefSeq and is a predicted model, not a curated record. Lineage: Eukaryota; Viridiplantae; Streptophyta; Magnoliopsida; Myrtales; Lythraceae.
UAAUUUGCGCUGGAAAAGCGGGUUCAACUUCAACGUCCACACCGUUACUACACUCCCGGAGAGCAAGCAAAAGCAUCACUCACCUACCCAUCAAUUAAACAGGCCAGCAUCAGUCCCUCCUAAUAAAAAAGCAUAGCAGCCCACAACAACGGCGCAACCCUGGCCCUGCCAGAGGGACGGAGAGACGUCCAAGACGGGGCUCACCACCAAUGACACCUUGAAGUUCAAUGCCCAGAUCCUCGAGUUCUUCCCCAGGGCAUCCGAGGCCCCCUGCCCGAUCUCUCCACUUACUACUACCCCUGCUUCCUGUUCGAGGAAUGUCCACAUCAAUGAUCUCCAGCAGGAGAUAGGCAGGUUAAACCUCCCUGACGAUGCAUCGAUCUUUGCUGCUCCUACACCACGGCCUUGCGCUGCUUCCUUCUGUCCCACCGUGACAGCCCACUAGCCGCAUUCUUUCCCUCUACACGCAUGACCAGCUGGUUACGUCAAUUUCACAGGAAACACUGGAUUGGGGUUUCUGCUCAAUUUGGCACUGUGUCCAGGCAUGCCCGAAGCUUCCCCCUGAGAUCGAUUUCAUCGUCGAUUUCGUGGUCGAUUUUGAGGUUGAGAUCGACAUCCCGGGCUCCCCCCUCACUGGGUCAACACCUCAGUGACGUCCUCAACGUUUUCGCCCUCUGUUUUGCGGUGGGGAUGGUGUUCAAUGGUGUCCUGAAGGUUGCACUGGCCGUCUCCCCUUCCUUCCCGUCAUCAGUAAUGUGUGUGUGGUGGCGGUUCCCCCUCCCCUUUGGUGAUUUUGCAGCGACCCUCUCCCUGAGUAGCGGCUCACAUGUUGGCGUGAGAUGGUGUCGGCAUUGGCGCUCUCACCGAUUGACCACAAUUGGCCUUGACCAGGAGCUUUGAUUUGCUCUGUCCCUCCUCGUUCUGGUGGUGGCAGUAUCGGCACAGGGGCUGUGCACUCUUCCGACUUGACCCAGACCGUUCGGCUUCUCCACCUUUCCGACCGGUCUCGGCUCCAAUGGUGGUCGCUGGUUUGAACUGGUCAAGGAGGCUUUGGCUCCCUUGAUUUGAUUACUUAGGACCUUAUUGUGAUAUAUGGUAUGAACCGAUCAAGGAUGCGUUGAGCUUCCUUGGUUUGAUUACUUAGUGCUUGAGCUGUUAAGGGUUAGGUUGACUGAUUAUGUCUGUUGGUAGUGAUUGUUGGUACGAUCUUGCGCUCGGAUAUCGGCUCGAGAUACCCUUACUAUGCUACUUCAUUAUGGAGUAGAAUUUCAUAGUGGAAUUAGGGUCCUCCUUUCCGAUUACUAUUGGGGUCAACGAUGAAAUAUUAUUAGCAGGUAGUGAUUGAAUCUAACGGUUUCAAGAUAGCAAACUAUAAUUGUAUAUGUUAUUCUUUGAUGUUUUCUCCUUUUAUCCUUUGAAGUUUGCCCGAUGAAUGAACCAUUAAUUUCCCUUCUUGUAA